AUGAGGUUGAUGCACACAACAUUGUUCCUCUUUGGGUGGCAUCAAAUAAAUUGGAAUACAGUGCUAGAACGAUACGUGGUAAAAUAAAUAAGCUGCUUCCUGAGUAUCUGAUUGAAUUGCCUGCAAUAGAGCCUCUUAAGAUAAAGUGGUCUUCUUCAAACGCUCCAAUAGAUUGGCCAAAACUAGUUUCAGAUGUUGUAAGGAAAGGAGCAGAAGUACCUGAACUUGAA
RNAcentral lists this unclassified non-coding RNA (230 nucleotides) under Hevea brasiliensis (rubber tree). The record is from RNAcentral. Lineage: Eukaryota; Viridiplantae; Streptophyta; Magnoliopsida; Malpighiales; Euphorbiaceae.